RNAcentral lists this ribosomal RNA (396 nucleotides) under uncultured bacterium. RNAcentral's name for it is "partial 16S ribosomal RNA". It matches the Rfam family "Bacterial small subunit ribosomal RNA", at positions 523 to 918 of the family's 1533-position model. The record is from RNAcentral.
AUACGUAGGGGGCAAGCGUUAUCCGGAUUUACUGGGUGUAAAGGGAGCGCAGGCGGCCAUGCAAGUCAGAGGUGAAAACCCGGGGCUUAACUCCGGGACUGCCUUUGAAACUGUAAGGCUAGAUUGCAGGAGGGGUAAGUGGAAUUCCCAGUGUAGCGGUGAAAUGCGUAGAUAUUGGGAGGAACACCAGUGGCGAAGGCGGCUUACGGGACGGAAAAUGACGCUGAGGUUCAAAAGCGUGGGGAGCAAACAGGAUUAGAUCCCCUGGUGGUCCACGCCGUAAACGAUGAAUACUAGGUGUCGGGGCCCGGAGGGCUUCAGUGCCGCAGCCAACGCAUUAAGUAGUCCGCCUGGGGAGUACGUUCGCAAGAAUGAAACUCAAAUGAAUUGACGGGG